This 400-nucleotide ribosomal RNA is filed under the name phytoplankton environmental sample. Its description in RNAcentral is "partial small subunit ribosomal RNA". It matches the Rfam family "Eukaryotic small subunit ribosomal RNA", at positions 587 to 989 of the family's 1831-position model. The record is from RNAcentral.
AGCUCCAAUAGCGUAUAUUAAAGUUGUUGCAGUUAAAAAGCUCGUAGUUGGAUUUGUGGCGUACGGGAAGCUCCCGUCACUACUGGUGUCGGUGUGGCUUGUUGUUGCCAUCCUUGGGUGGAAGCUGUGUGGCAUUAGGUUGUCGUGCAGGGGAUGCCCAUCGUUUACUGUGAAAAAAUUAGAGUGUUCAAAGCAGGCUUAUGCCGAUGAAUAUGUUAGCAUGGAAUAAUAAGAUAGGACCUUGGUACUAUUUUGUUGGUUUGCGCACCGAGGUAAUGGUUAAUAGGAAUGGUUGGGGGUAUUCGUAUUUCAUUGUCAGAGGUGAAAUUCUUGGAUUUUUGAAAGACGAACUACUGCGAAAGCAUUUACCAAGGAUGUUUUCAUUAAUCAAGAACGAAAG